GGGGGACUCCGAGUGCGAGGGCAUAUAGUCCUCGCUUUUCUCGACCCUAAGGUGGUCGAGGAAGAAGCGCUGGGCAAGACCGGUGCCAGCCGCCGCGGUAAUACCGGCAGCGCAAGUGAUGGCCGUUGUUAUUGGGCCUAAAGCGUCCGUAGCCGGCCGAGCAAGUCCGUUGGGAAAUCCACCCGCUCAACGGGUGGGCGACCAGCGGAAACUGCUCGGCUUGGGACCGGAGGACCCGAGGGGUACGUCCGGGGUAGGAGUGAAAUCCCGUAAUCCUGGACGGACCGCCGAUGGCGAAAGCACCUCGGGAGGACGGAUCCGACGGUGAGGGACGAAAGCUAGGGUCUCGAACCGGAUUAGAUACCCGGGUAGUCCUAGCCGUAAACGAUGCCCGCUAGGUGUGGCGCAGGCUACGAGCCUGCGCUGUGCCGUAGGGAAGCCGAGAAGCGGGCCGCCUGGGAAGUACGUCCGCAAGGAUGAAACUUAAAGGAAUUGGCGGG
This 500-nucleotide ribosomal RNA is filed under the name uncultured Halorhabdus sp. RNAcentral's name for it is "bacterial SSU rRNA". It matches the Rfam family "Archaeal small subunit ribosomal RNA", at positions 373 to 872 of the family's 1478-position model. The record is from RNAcentral. Lineage: Archaea; Methanobacteriati; Methanobacteriota; Halobacteria; Halobacteriales; Haloarculaceae.